Long non-coding RNA from Anopheles gambiae (African malaria mosquito), 1496 nucleotides. RefSeq lists it as uncharacterized. NCBI's taxonomy places the organism in Eukaryota, Metazoa, Arthropoda, Insecta, Diptera, Culicidae. The record is from RefSeq and is a predicted model, not a curated record. The transcript is spliced from 3 exons.
UUCUGUGAAUUUAUUCUAGAAUUCUUUGUGUUUUCGACAUUUUUGAUGAUAAAAAUUAAGAAAUCAUUAUUUUUUUUUUCGAUUUUUACAUUAAUUGCUCAUUAUCUACGAGCCGCAUGGCCGCAAUUUACUUGAGAUUAGAACUCAUGCUAGCAUGAUUUGAAAUUUCGUGCAUAAACAAAUGAUCAAAUCUUUUGUUAAUAUAUUACGUUUUUUCGAUAAAAUCAAUAGACACGCACUAAAAUGCACAUCAUAACAAAUCGAAAUCUGUUAUAUUUGCUAAGCUUUGUGUGCGGAAACCAAUGGUCAACGGUUCUAAAAUGACGUAAAGUCCCUCAACUAUGGCGACCUCCCCAAAGGCCCUAAUCCACCACCACCUGAUAUGUUGAAUCCACCUUGGCAACGCACCCCAUCCCGUGCUAGAACGGGACAAGUUCAACAACAACUGUCAUCGUUUUUUCCCGAUUCACUUUACACUUUCCGUGGUCAGAUGCGCUUUCCGUGCUCAGAUGCGCUUUCCGUGCGCGGCCGUGUAGCGGUGGAGUAAUUGCGCGAUGGGUGUUGUGGAUCGUACGUACUGCUGCUGCUGCUGGAAUUGUCGUAAGGAUGGCUGCUACCGGUGGCAUUCGGCCGUCCUAGCAGCUGCUCAUAGACACCGCUGUGCUGCUGCAGGAUGCCCUGGUCCUGCCCAUCCCAACAUCGUCCUCACCGCAAUCGAUCACCCAGAUUGAGGCUCCAGCGGUGGAAGUAGUAGGAGCACAUUCUCCAAGCCGAUUGGGAUUUUCCAAGCCUGGUUCUCGGUGUACCAUCCUUCUGAUGUUCCGCUGGCCGAUCCUCUGUUGAAACCGUCGCCGUGAACGACCGCUCUCCCCCGCGUGCAGCAAUCUCCAGGCUCCAGGUCAAACGUGAAGCUGAAACGUCUCCUUGCGUUUCACGUUGGCCGUCCACUGCAACUCAAGUGGGGGCCCGGCUGGCCCUUCAAUCUGAUACUCGCUGCUAGGGUAACUUCAGCGUCAAUGAUGAUCCUUCAUCCAGAAAUUGCGUGCGUGUCUCGCACUCGCUUGUUCAACGCUUGCACAACCCGGUACACGACACAGGAGAAUCUCGAUCGACAAGGCUUUGUUACGUGGUUUGCGGCACAGCUUCAUCUGCGUUACAGUCUCAACACGUUCCAUGGGAGACAUGCGCUUCGCAUCAUUCUCUUAGCGUAUGAUCCGUGUUCGAUCCAACGAAGGUAGGGAGUUUCAAUUUGCGAUGGCGAGAAACCCGAUCGCGCACGAAUCGCGCAGCUCAUUCGCCUCCUCGAACACGAACCAUCUGAAUUUAGCAUCAUCUAUCGGCUCUGUUUUGCAUUUCCCAAUCAACUCUGGGGCUGUUUUGGACCCAUAACCUUUCUCCAUUUCGUGAUUGUUCUGCAGUUUGUGGCAACCGUUCUUCCUUCCGUCAGCACCGUGAAUGCCUGUUUGGCACUUUCAAUGAAGGCUUCUGUAAUCCAA